Molecule: long non-coding RNA, 2557 nt
Organism: Pogoniulus pusillus (Red-fronted tinkerbird)
Lineage: Eukaryota; Metazoa; Chordata; Aves; Piciformes; Lybiidae
Exons: 2
Source: RefSeq, a predicted model, not a curated record
GGGGAGCACUGCCAACACAGGUGGGAGAUGCUGAGUCCCAUCCUCACGGGUCAAAUGUGCUCCAGCUCCUUCCUGAGGCAUCUGAGCCACCUCCUCCAGCCACGUUUCUUCCAUACCCUGCACCCACCCUGCUCCCAGGCAGCAGUGUCUCCGGUGGCUGUGCUGGCUGGGUGUUGCCCUGGACAGACCCGAGCUGAUUCCCAGCAGGAGCAGCUUGUCCUCCAGCAAAAUGGCAAAAGCCAGAUCCUCUUCCCUCCUCUUCUGCCAGCAGGUUGGCAGCUGAUGAUUGCAGAAGGAGGAGAGGAACCAUCUGCUCUAAACCAAAUGUCAGUGCCAGGAACAUAGAGCUGGUCACGUCUGGAUGGCCUGGGUUUAGUCCCAGUCUGUGCUGGGGCAGGCAGUUGGGUGCUCCCUGGGGAGGGACCUUUGCUGGCAGUAAGCACAGAGCAGAUCUGGAUGGGCUGCAGGCCAUUCUUGCCCUCUCCACCUGGGCACUGUCCCUUUGCUGUGCAGAAAAUGUUGGCUGGAAGUUGUUGGUUUGAGAGCUCCUGCCGUGGUGUUCCUCCCACAGUGCUGAUGGGGUCAGUUCUGCUCUCUUCUCCCCACUUGCCUUGGCCAAACUAUUAAAACCAAGCAGGACUUAGUGUCCUGUGGAGGUCCUCACCUGGGGAGCUGCUGUGGUGCUGCUCCCCAGAGAGGCCCAGGGCUGUGCAGCCACCACCACCUCAGCCAGCUUUCAGAGAGCAGCCCCAGCGCUGCAGGCUCACAGUAAGGUCCUGGGGGGAUUCCGUGGGCAGGAAAUCCACUGCUCAGAGUCAAACUCAGGGCAGUCACACACAACAGUUGACACCGACCCCCAGCAGGGCUCUUCUGGGGCACAGCAGGGCUGAUCUCAGACGCUCUGUGGAGGCCAUCAGAGGGCUGGGCACGUUUCCCUCGGGCAGCUGUGCCAGUUCCCCACCCUGCUCCCCACCUGAGCAGCCACUCAGCAGAGCCCGGACUGUGCCUGCACCGUGCUGGGCUGCAGGCUGGUAAGGCAAGGGAUUCCCAGCUGUGGUGAUCACUUCAAGGCAUUCCAGGCUUUGGUGAUCACUUUUCCCCUGGAUCACGGAGUGGGAAUGACCCACACGGAGGCUGCUGUGCUGGAGCUGCCUGCUGGCUGCCUGGGCUGAGCCAGUGACCUGCUGACCCAGCCCUGGCCCUCAGGGAAAGCUGCUGCCCUAGGGGGGGCCCAGCCCUGAUUCCCAUCUCUGCAAGGGUUUGUUAUGCAAAAAAAACUCAAUUCAGGAGUGGCGGCUGCGAGCAUCUCCCCUGUCCCCCAGGAGACAGGGCCAGGGCUGCUGGCCAUGGCACAGCCCUUGGCAUGGGCAUGGCUCCUGAGAGCAUGAAGGUGCUCUGUCCUUGGGAUUAAGGCAGCCCCCAAUAGGGGUGGCACUAGAGCCCCUCUGCCUACAGCAGCCUAGGGAAGGUGUCACCAGCCUGAAGGUGUUUGCUGCAGGAGGGACGGAGAUGGCAGCAAAGGUGAGCCCCGGACUGCAGCAGCCCUGAGCUGCCUGCCUGCUGUGUGCCCUUUGCAAAGCUCCUGGAAAGGGACUCUGCCCACCCCUCUGCAGCAAAGCCCAGCAGCAUUUGCUGUGCCCAGGUCUGUAGCAUGGAGGCAGAUUUGCUGUGCCCAGGUCUGUAGCAUGGGGGAGGUUUGCUGUGCCCAGGUCUGUAGCAUGGAGGCAGAUUUGCUGUGCCCAGGUCUGUAGCAUGGGGGAGGUUUGCUGUGCCCAGGUCUGUAGCAUGGAGGCAGAUUUGCUGGGCCCAGGUCUGUAGCAUGGGGGAGGUUUGCUGUGCCCAGGUCUGUAGCAUGGAGGCAGAUUUGCUGCACCCAGGUCUGUAGCAUGGGGAAGGAUUUGCCAUGCCCAGGUCUGUAGCAUGGAGGCAGACUUGCCGUGCCCAGGUCUGUAGCAUGGGGGAGGAUUUGCUGUGUCCAGCAGGGAGGAGCAGCAAAUGCUUUGGGCUUGUGGGAGCAUCAGGGCAGGAGCUGCUAACACCCCCCCCCCUCCUCUCCCCGGAGCAGGGCGGGGCCUGAAGGGGCUUUGCUGCCUGCUUGUCACAUCCCAAUCGUUUCUGCAGGGCAGGGGCUGGGGCAGGGAGCAGGGCAGGGCUGGAGAAGUUGCUUGUAAAUAGAUUUUGUCUUCCACCCUCCCCAGGUGCCCGGGACGGCCGUGCAGCUCAGUUCCCCCCCCUUACACAGAUCAAAUGCUAAUGAGUGCCCCUUGGUUGGUUUGCUUGGGUUUGGGUUUUCCCCCCCCUCCCCCACUUGGAAUGAUAAAUGUGAAAUUAGGACAUGGGAAGACAUUGGGGAGAGGCUUCAAUGAUUUUUUCCUCCCCCCCCCCCCCUUUUCUUUUUUCCCUCCCAUUUAAUUCUGUAAUAGAAAUUUGUUACUUCAUUCCUGUGCAUAACUUAUUUAAUGUUACUGUAUAAAGGACACACCCCCCCCCCCCCCCAGUACAGAUGUAUUUAGUUUGUUCUACUCCAAAGUAGUCAAUAAAAAGACUCUAUUCAGCA